CUCGAGAGCAGGCAGAAGCCACUUCUUUACAGUUCCUGAUACGGAGUGUGAAGAUGCUGCCUUCCUGAUGGAUUCUAUCCCAGUUCCUUGAAGACAAACAGAGAUUAAAGAAAACUGCCUGACUUGCUCCUUACACCGACCCUGACGCAGUCUGAGCCCUAUAUCAUCGGCCACAUCACCAACCUGGUUACAGAUAAAAUUUGCUGUGACCAGUGGAGGAGUGGGACUGGAAAAGGAAACAGUGACCAGCCAAGCCAGGGAACCAUAGACCAGAGAGGCUGACAUGAGUGCUGGAUGCAUCUCGACCUGCUGAAUUUCUCCAGAAAUGAAUCGGCACUGACUGAAUUUUCAACAAAACAAAGAACCGUGCAUGCUGGA
Stegostoma tigrinum is the source of this 378-nucleotide long non-coding RNA. RefSeq lists it as uncharacterized. NCBI's taxonomy places the organism in Eukaryota, Metazoa, Chordata, Chondrichthyes, Orectolobiformes, Stegostomatidae. The transcript is spliced from 3 exons. The record is from RefSeq and is a predicted model, not a curated record.